RNAcentral lists this ribosomal RNA (446 nucleotides) under uncultured bacterium. RNAcentral describes it as "partial 16S ribosomal RNA". It matches the Rfam family "Bacterial small subunit ribosomal RNA", at positions 338 to 795 of the family's 1533-position model. The record is from RNAcentral.
CCUACGGGAGGCAGCAGUCGAGAAUCAUUCACAAUGGGGGAAACCCUGAUGGUGCGACGCCGCGUGGGGGAAUGAAGGUCUUGGGAUUGUAAACCCCUGUCAUGUGGAAGCAAAUUAAAAAGAUAGUACCACAAGAGGAAGAGACGGCUAACUCUGGGCCAGCAGCCGCGGUAAUACAGAGGUCUCAAGCGUUGUUCGGAAUCACUGGGCGUAAAGCGUGCGUAGGCUGUUUCGUAAGUCGUGUGUGAAAGGCGCGGGCUCAACCCGCGGACGGCACAUGAUACUGCGAGACUAGAGUAAGGGAGGGGGAACCGGAAUUCUCGGUGUAGCAGUGAAAUGCGUAGAUAUCGAGAGGAACACUCGUGGCGAAGGCGGGUUCCUGGACAUUAACUGACGCUGAGGCACGAAGGCCAGGGGAGCGAAAGGGAUUAGAUACCCGGGUAGUC